Small nucleolar RNA from Grammomys surdaster, 142 nucleotides. RefSeq annotates it as small nucleolar RNA SNORA48. The transcript has a single exon. The record is from RefSeq and is a predicted model, not a curated record. Lineage: Eukaryota; Metazoa; Chordata; Mammalia; Rodentia; Muridae.
UCCCUCUGGCAAUGGGCAAAGAAAACAUCUUGCUGGUGGUGUUCUUAUAUUAGUCAGGAGCAGAGCAGAUGGCAGUCCUUUGUUCAUCUUAGCUUGAUGCCUGGCUUGAUGGCCAAAACUCUCUUAUGCCUAGGAUAGUUAA